Molecule: ribosomal RNA, 468 nt
Filed under: uncultured bacterium
Lineage: Bacteria
Description: partial 16S ribosomal RNA
Rfam family: Bacterial small subunit ribosomal RNA
Source: RNAcentral
GACGAACGCUGGCGGCGUGCUUAACACAUGCAAGUCGAACGGAAAGGCCCUGCUUUUGUGGGGUGCUCGAGUGGCGAACGGGUGAGUAACACGUGAGUAACCUGCCCUUGACUUUGGGAUAACUUCAGGAAACUGGGGCUAAUACCGGAUAGGAGCUCCUGCUGCAUGGUGGGGGUUGGAAAGUUUCGGCGGUUGGGGAUGGACUCGCGGCUUAUCCGCUUGUUGGUGGGGUAGUGGCUUACCAAGGCUUUGACGGGUAGCCGGCCUGAGAGGGUGACCGGGCACAUUGGGAUUGAGGUACGGCCCAGACUCCUACGGGAGGCAGCAGUGGGGAAUAUUGCACAAUGGGCGGAAGCCUGAUGCAGCAACGCCGCGUGCGGGAUGACGGCCUUCGGGUUGUAAACCGCUUUCGCCUGUGACGAAGCGUGAGUGACGGUAAUGGGUAAAGAAGCACCGGCUAACUACGUG